Molecule: ribosomal RNA, 938 nt
Filed under: Chryseobacterium sp.
Lineage: Bacteria; Pseudomonadati; Bacteroidota; Flavobacteriia; Flavobacteriales; Weeksellaceae
Description: bacterial SSU rRNA
Rfam family: Bacterial small subunit ribosomal RNA
Source: RNAcentral
GCUGAAGGUACUAUACGAAUAAGCACCGGCUAACUCCGUGCCAGCAGCCGCGGUAAUACGGAGGGUGCAAGCGUUAUCCGGAUUUAUUGGGUUUAAAGGGUCCGUAGGCGGAUCUGUAAGUCAGUGGUGAAAUCUCAUAGCUUAACUAUGAAACUGCCAUUGAUACUGCAGGUCUUGAGUAAAGUAGAAGUGGCUGGAAUAAGUAGUGUAGCGGUGAAAUGCAUAGAUAUUACUUAGAACACCAAUUGCGAAGGCAGGUCACUAUGUUUUAACUGACGCUGAUGGACGAAAGCGUGGGGAGCGAACAGGAUUAGAUACCCUGGUAGUCCACGCCGUAAACGAUGCUAACUCGUUUUUGGGCUUUCGGGUUCAGAGACUAAGCGAAAGUGAUAAGUUAGCCACCUGGGGAGUACGUUCGCAAGAAUGAAACUCAAAGGAAUUGACGGGGGCCCGCACAAGCGGUGGAUUAUGUGGUUUAAUUCGAUGAUACGCGAGGAACCUUACCAAGGCUUAAAUGGGAAUUGACAGGUUUAGAAAUAGACUUUUCUUCGGACAAUUUUCAAGGUGCUGCAUGGUUGUCGUCAGCUCGUGCCGUGAGGUGUUAGGUUAAGUCCUGCAACGAGCGCAACCCCUGUCACUAGUUGCCAUCAUUCAGUUGGGGACUCUAGUGAGACUGCCUACGCAAGUAGAGAGGAAGGUGGGGAUGACGUCAAAUCAUCACGGCCCUUACGCCUUGGGCCACACACGUAAUACAAUGGCCGGUACAGAGGGCAGCUACCUAGCGAUAGGAUGCGAAUCUCGAAAGCCGGUCUCAGUUCGGAUUGGAGUCUGCAACUCGACUCUAUGAAGCUGGAAUCGCUAGUAAUCGCGCAUCAGCCAUGGCGCGGUGAAUACGUUCCCGGGCCUUGUACACACCGCCCGUCAAGCCAUGGAAGUUU